This 70-nucleotide transfer RNA is filed under the name Acropyga sauteri. RNAcentral's name for it is "tRNA-Val". Lineage: Eukaryota; Metazoa; Arthropoda; Insecta; Hymenoptera; Formicidae. The record is from RNAcentral.
UAAAUUUUAGUUUAUAUUAAAAAAUAAUUCAUUUACAUUGAGAAGAUUAAUUGAAAAAAUUAAAAUUUUA